RNAcentral lists this long non-coding RNA (821 nucleotides) under Vulpes vulpes (red fox). RNAcentral describes it as "lncRNA (ENSVVUG00000010263.1)". Lineage: Eukaryota; Metazoa; Chordata; Mammalia; Carnivora; Canidae. The record is from RNAcentral.
AGAUAUAUGUGGCAGACAGUUGAGUAAAUGUGGUCAAUAUUAAGACUUCCACAAUUGACUCAUGUGGUUAAAAUUGAUUUUUUAAACCUAUAACCCAUUAUGAGUAUGCAUUUAACCUAACCAAACUCAUACAGUGGGUUUUGCAUUUUUGUGUGGCUUGGAUUUUCUGUCUGUUGUCUACCAAAUGGUAAGAAUGGAGAAGUAGAGCUCUUCUUGGACAAUACGUAUGAGACAGUAGUGAAAGAAGACCUUUGCUUUGUUUUCUUCCUUUUAUUUGUUGUCUGUAAUGUGUUUCAGAGUCACCUCACUUAUUUCUUAUGACCACUGAUGAGAAGUAUGUCGUUUUCUGGAAUGGAGAAGAUGAAAUUCAGCCACGGGGUUCAGGUGGAGGGCAUCUGAAAUGUUCUGAGGAAGCGGCAGCAUGGAAAUCUCUCAUUGCACCAGCAACUGACUUUUCCACAGACACAGAGGUAGAAAAUUACAAUUCCUCUCCACCCCAUCCUGCACUCUUACGGGAUUUAAGGAAUUCCUGCUCCACUUUCCACACAGACCCGGUGUCGUUCAUGCUGGUGCCAAAUUGGACACAAGGGGGCACCGAAGUGCCACAAAUUUUGCCCUGGGACCUUUCUCCACUUGCAAAUUCCCAUCAACAAGAGAAGGCCAGGAAACUCUGGGCCUUCAGGAGCAUUCUUCCCAGCUUACUUAGUAGAGGCAUUGCCAUGGUUGUUGGAAUCAUAAAAGAUUGCCCACAGUUUGUAUUUGCCCUAGUGUCCAUUUUGGUGCCAGUUUGAAAGUACUCUACCAUGGUGGUUGAAGCUCCC